Molecule: non-coding RNA, 87 nt
Filed under: unclassified sequences
Source: RNAcentral
UAAAAAUUACCACCGGGUAAGAAUGCACAAGCAUUCAUACACACAUCGUUAGGUCAUGGAAGAUGUGUGUAUGGGUGCUUAUUUUUU